AAAUUCAAAGUAUUACAGAAAGUAAAAUUGCAACACAUACAAUAAAAAUAAAAUCAAAUAUUUGUGCGGGGGUAGGCGUGGAAGAAGAAAGGGAUGGAUAAUAGGUGGGAGAGAAAGAGGUGGACAGUAUAACAGAGGUAGCCAUGUUGUGAGAACUUCAAAACUACCAUUUGCCUAAUUAUUGGAUUUAUUUAUUUAUUAUUAUUUGUACCUACAAAAAUAGAAGGAAAAAAAAAAGGUUUACAUUUAAUAUUUUAUGAUCCUUAAGGCAUCACAAGAAUACAAGAAGGUUGGGAAGACAAAUUCUAAAUCUACACAGAAAUAUCAAACACAUUCUUUCUUGGCACUUACGCAAUCAUUGCUUUUUCUUUUCGUGGGCGACAUUGUUGUUGUUGUUUUCUUCUUCAGUGAAGAUGGACAAUCGAGAAUCAUUAUUAGAGUCUCAGUUCAUCCGAUGAUGUGUUUUAGACUCCGGCAUCUUCAAAUCACAAGAUCCAAACACUUCUUGAAUGUCUACGUGCACCCAAGAAGAAAACACGAAUAAAGAAAUAAUCAAUUCGUAAGGAGAUUGAGAAAACUUUCUUUUAAUGUAAUGACGCGGUAAGAAAAUAGAUUUGUUGUGUUGUGUGGUGUGGUGGAAGAAAUUACAAAUCAUUCCCCUCUUUAUUUCUCUUAAAUUUUCAUGAAGCAAAUGAGUUUUUAUUUGAGUAGGGUUUACACUAAUAGCCCAUGUUAUAGGCUAUAUUGAUUUGCAAUGAAUUGGAUUACUUGGA
This is a long non-coding RNA of Trifolium pratense (red clover), 773 nucleotides long. RefSeq lists it as uncharacterized. NCBI's taxonomy places the organism in Eukaryota, Viridiplantae, Streptophyta, Magnoliopsida, Fabales, Fabaceae. The record is from RefSeq and is a predicted model, not a curated record. The transcript is spliced from 2 exons.